CCGGAGACCAUUUGGGGCCUGGAGACGCCAUCGGAGGGCAGGAGCUGAUCCUGGAGAGGCCACCGUGAGGCCUGACCUGGGCCUGGGGAGCUUGGCUUGAGGAAGCUGUGGGCCGACCAAGGCCGCCAGGAGAUGCGCAGGCGCUGAGUCCAAAGAGGUUGUUGGGAGGCAGCAGUCGGGCCUGGAGACGCAGCCGGGAGGAAGAGCUGGGCCCGGAGAGGACGCCGGGAGGCUGCAAGUGGGUCUGGAGAGGCCGACUUGAGGAGGCCCGGCCUCUGCCUCCCGCAUGGCGGCCUCUGCAGGCCCAGCUGUUCCUCCUGGCUGCAUCUCUCGGCCCAGCUCCUGCCUCCCAGCAAGCAAGCUCUUUUGGCUCAGCUCCCGCCGGCGUUUGUAGACCCCGAAGUUUCUGCAGCCAAGCUCUUCAGGCCCACAUCCUGCCUCCCAGUGGCCUGUACAGUCCCAGCUCUGGCAGCAGAAAGCAUCUGCAGGCCCCGCUGUUGCCUCCCAGGGGCGUCCCUAGGAGGCAAGAGCGGGGCCUGCAGAGGCUGUUCUACAGCCAGAGCUGGGCCUGUACAGGCCACCGAGAGGCAGUAGGCGGGCGCGAAGAGCUUGGCUCGAGAAAGUUCGGGGCCUACAAAGGCGGCUGGGAGCUG
This 653-nucleotide long non-coding RNA is filed under the name Homo sapiens (human). RNAcentral describes it as "PREDICTED lncRNA (TCONS_00243756)". The record is from RNAcentral. Lineage: Eukaryota; Metazoa; Chordata; Mammalia; Primates; Hominidae.